AUUGAACGCUGGCGGAAUGCUUUACACAUGCAAGUCGAACGGCAGCACGGGGGCAACCCUGGUGGCGAGUGGCGAACGGGUGAGUAACACAUCGGAACGUGCCCAGUCGUGGGGGAUAACGUAGCGAAAGCUACGCUAAUACCGCAUACGAACUCUGGUUGAAAGCGGGGGACCCGUAAGGGCCUCGCGCGAUUGGAGCGGCCGAUGGCAGAUUAGGUAGUUGGUGGGGUAAAGGCCACCAAGCCGACGAUCUGUAGCUGGUCUGAGAGGACGACCAGCCACACUGGGACUGAGACACGGCCCAGACUCCUACGGGAGGCAGCAGUGGGGAAUUUUGGACAAUGGGCGCAAGCCUGAUCCAGCCAUUCCGCGUGCAGGAUGAAGGCCCUCGGGUUGUAAACUGCUUUUGUACGGAACGAAAAGCCUGAGCUAAUACCUCGGGUCCAUGACGGUACCGUAAGAAUAAGCACCGGCUAACUACGUGCCAGCCGCCGCGGUAAG
This 501-nucleotide ribosomal RNA is filed under the name uncultured bacterium. RNAcentral describes it as "bacterial SSU rRNA". It matches the Rfam family "Bacterial small subunit ribosomal RNA", at positions 29 to 524 of the family's 1533-position model. The record is from RNAcentral.